RNAcentral lists this ribosomal RNA (253 nucleotides) under uncultured bacterium. RNAcentral describes it as "partial 16S ribosomal RNA". It matches the Rfam family "Bacterial small subunit ribosomal RNA", at positions 524 to 776 of the family's 1533-position model. The record is from RNAcentral.
UACGAGGGGGGCGAGCGUUGUUCGGAAUUAUUGGGCGUAAAGGGUGCGUAGGCGGUUUGGUAAGUCUGAUGUGAAAUCUAUGGGCUCAACUCAUAGUCUGCAUCGGAAACUGCCGGGCUUGAGUGUGGGAGAGGUGAGUGGAAUUCCUGGUGUAGCGGUGAAAUGCGUAGAUAUCAGGAGGAACACCUGUGGCGAAAGCGGCUCACUGGACCAUAACUGACGCUGAUGCACGACAGCGUGGGGAUCAAACAGG